AUCAACGCUUUACUGUGAUUGGUUAGGCUGUCUCAUAAACAUGGUUAUAUCAACGCUUUAUUGUGAUUGGUUAGGCUGUCUCAAACAUGGUUAUAUCAAUGCUUUAUUGUGAUUGGUUAGGCUGUCUCAUUGUUGCGAGAAUUAUGUUCUCAAUGUUCAUAAACCACUUUAAUUAAACUACUCAGUCUGCAACCCAGAAUUUGUAAGAUUCUGGUUAAAUGAAACAGACGGAGGCCCAGCUAUGAUAGUCAAAAUGUUUAUUCACGAGAGCGCUAGUCCGUUGCACAAAACCAUUCAUAUUAUACGGGCUACUUACGCACUUACAUUCACACACAGACAGUAGGUAUAAUACGCACAUACUGUAUCCCCACCCAGCCGACAAAGAUUAGGGAGACCGUGGGAAGCACUCCUUGUCCUCCCUCAAGAUUAGGGAGACCAUGGGAAGCACCCCGUGUCCUCCCUCAAGAUUAGGGAGACUGUGGGAAGCACUCCCUGUCCUCCCUCAAGAUUAGGAGGGACUUGAGAAGUACUCCCCGCCCUCUCCCAAGGCCCCUAGCAAGGUUGGCACCGAAUUUUGCUCAGACAGUCUGUGUUUUAAGAUACUAUAAAGAUAUAUUGUACAGAUAUAUUGUUUUACUCUAAUUCUGACUAAAACUACACACAUCAUUAAUUAUGCUUUUACUGACAAACUACACACAUCAUUAAUAAUAAUUUUAUGAUUCUAAUCAAUUUCAUACAAUUACAUGGUUUCAGGGUGGAAUAUUCUAAUCAUUAAUUUAAACAUAUAUAAAUUCCAUUAACACUCAUUCACAUGGCUAUAUCAAAGGCUGUCUCACUGACAGGUAAAAUAUGAACUGCAGUUUACAGACAAGAGAAGGAAAGAAGAAGAGAACAUAUAUUCUGAUGGCAGCCAAGUUGGAUGGUGGACAGGGUUAAUAAUGGUGAGUUGGAUGGUGGACAGGGUUAAUAAUGGUGAGUUGGAGGGUGGACAGGGUUAAUAAUGGUGAGUUGGAGGGUGGACAGGGUUAAUAAUGGUGAGUUGGAGGGUGGACAGGGUUAAUAAUGGUGAGUUGGAGGGUGGACAGGGUUAAUAAUGGUGAGUUGGAUGGUGGACAGGGUU
Molecule: non-coding RNA, 1120 nt
Organism: Oncorhynchus mykiss (rainbow trout)
Lineage: Eukaryota; Metazoa; Chordata; Actinopteri; Salmoniformes; Salmonidae
Source: RefSeq, a predicted model, not a curated record